Molecule: small nucleolar RNA, 110 nt
Filed under: Ochotona princeps (American pika)
Lineage: Eukaryota; Metazoa; Chordata; Mammalia; Lagomorpha; Ochotonidae
Description: Small nucleolar RNA Me28S-Am2634 (ENSOPRG00000023395.1)
Source: RNAcentral
ACUACCAUAAUACUGAAAAUUUUUAAAGUAGGCAUAAAAAUGAGCUUGCAGAGAUUAGCUGCAAAGAAAUUUAAAGCUUUAUACUGAUGUGCAGGUGGUGGCCAUGUAGG